AUGCGGCGGAUCUCGUGGCGGUUGGAGAAGAUGAUGAACGGUUUGAAAGGGUCUGGGGAACACAGGGGGGGCUCAGAAGGGGACGCAGCAGAGGGACCGGCAGCCCUCGGUGGGGGACAGCUCUGCCUCACGCCCCCCCCGCCCCGCAGCAGCCAGCGGACACUGCUGACAAAGCAGGAGCCCGAAGCCCCACCGCCCUUCCACCCCCCCAGGCCCUGCUUGGUGCUGCAGGAUCGAUGCCACCCGGGGGGGGGGCGAAGCCACGAGCCCCUCCCAGCCCCCCCGGCACCCACCGAGGCUGCGGCAGCUCUCUCCGUCGGGCUCCAGCAUCCAGCCCUCGUAGCACGAGCACUUGACGUUGUACUUGUCCUGCUCGCACUUCUGGCUGCACUUGAGGUGCUUGGCACAGUAGCUCUGGAUCUGGCAGGUCUUGUUGUCCGCUCCCAGCUCCAUGCCCAGGGGACAGGAGCACACGAUGCCCUCCCCGGGGGCCACGGUGCAGUUGUGGCUGCAGCCGCCGUUGUUCAGAGAGCACUGAUCUGCGGGGAGGGACGGGAUGUGCACUUCAGGGCCAUCCCUGUUUGUCAGCUCCAUCCAUGUGUGUGUCACCCCCAUCCAUGUGCCCAUGACCCCCAUCCCUGUGUGUGUCAGCUCCAUCCCUCUGCGUGUCGGCUCCAUCCCUGUGCAUAUCACUUCCAUCCCUGUGCCCUUCAGCUCCACCUGUGUGCAUCACCCCCAUCCCUGUGCACUUCAUCCCCAUCCCUGUGCGUGUCACCUCCAUCCCUGCGCCCUUCAGCUCCAUCCCUGUAUGUCAGUUCCAUCCCUGUGCCCAUCACCUCCAUCCCUGUGCGUGUCAGCUCCAUCCCUGUGCACUUCAUCCCCAUCCCUGUGUGCAUCACCUUCACCCUCAUGCCCAUCACCCCCACCCCUGUGCCCAUCAGCUCCAUCCCUGUGCAUUUCACCCCCACCCCUGUGCCCAUCACAGCCCCCCGCCCAGCACCCAGCUCACCGCACAGCUCGCCCUCGUCAGAGCCGUCCCCGCAGUCGUCGGCUCCAUCGCAGAGCUUCUCGGGGGGGAGGCAGAUGGAGGUGCUGUUGGCACAGGUGUGCGAGGGCGGUUUGCACACCAACGACUCGCAGUUCUCCUCGUCUGAGUUGUCCUCGCAGUCGCUGUCCCCAUCACAGACCCACGCUUUGCUGAUGCAGCGAGCUGCAGGAGGGAGGGAGGAGGGAUCGGACCCAGGGACAGCACUCACGGCGCCCCCCAUCCCGAGCGCAGGGCGGCCCCGCAGCUGA
This 1296-nucleotide long non-coding RNA is filed under the name Pavo cristatus (Indian peafowl). RNAcentral's name for it is "lncRNA (ENSPSTG00000013164.1)". Lineage: Eukaryota; Metazoa; Chordata; Aves; Galliformes; Phasianidae. The record is from RNAcentral.